GUUCUGUACGUGUGCAUAUAUAUUACUUACAAAUGUAUAAAUAUAUUUCUAACGACGCAACAUUUUCAUAUUAUUAAUUUAAUAUGUUCUAAAAAAAAUGUUUUUAUGAGUAUUACUUGAAGCGACAAAUAAUGUUAUUUUGCACUCGAUUAUGUCUGCGUUUUUAUACGAUCGGUUACAUGUACCAGUCAAAAUCGAAAGUCAAAUCUCUGUUGCGACAAUACAUCGGAAUGCCCUCACGGUCAUCGUGAUGUAAACAUGAAGUGUGGGCAUGAGGACGUGUACUUCCUUGUUCCAGGACAAACAUAUUUUUCGACUUUAAUGAAAAAAACUCUUUUUUAAAAAUAAUAUGUUUUUUUUUUUAAUUUCAUUAUUGUUUUAUUUUUUCUCUCAUUUUCAAUGGAAACAAUUAUUUUGAUUCCCUCCUGAAAAAGAUAAAAUAUCUUUCAAGAAACUUGGAAUCAAAC
RNAcentral lists this long non-coding RNA (467 nucleotides) under Mytilus galloprovincialis (Mediterranean mussel). The record is from RNAcentral. Lineage: Eukaryota; Metazoa; Mollusca; Bivalvia; Mytilida; Mytilidae.